AAACACGAAAUCUGCUUGGUGAACCUCGUUGGACACAUGGUUGUUCAGAGAAAUCGCAUUGUGCGCGAAGUAAUCCACAGGGAACCUGUUCAAUUUGUUGUGACUCGGAAUUAUGUAACCGUAACUGUACCAUUCAAUCAACAAUAGCUCCUCCAACUACAACGACAAUUGUACCAACAACGCUUAUUCCUCAGACAGCUCCAAUUGUACAUCAAGUUGUUAUCAAUCCAACAAAUAUAAGAUAUGGCGAUACAGUGACGAUCCAAUGCGUUGCCACCGGAAAUCCUAGUCCGACAAUAGAUUUCCUAACACGGGGUGGCUCAUUAGGCACAAAUAUACUAGUAGAUCCGCAUACACAUGUUCUUACAAUACGGAAAUUUUUACCUUAUGAUGACGGAGAUUACAGAUGUAUAGCUGCAAAUUCAUUGGGUGAUGAUCAUAAAGAUUUCCACUUACAAGGACACUAACACUUUAAUUGGUUGUUUGAAAAUAAAUGAACUGAUAUGUAAUUA
Mytilus californianus (California mussel) is the source of this 512-nucleotide long non-coding RNA. RefSeq lists it as uncharacterized. The transcript has 4 exons. NCBI's taxonomy places the organism in Eukaryota, Metazoa, Mollusca, Bivalvia, Mytilida, Mytilidae. The record is from RefSeq and is a predicted model, not a curated record.